RNAcentral lists this transfer RNA (85 nucleotides) under Flavipsychrobacter sp. RNAcentral's name for it is "tRNA-Ser". It matches the Rfam family "tRNA". From Rfam's summary of the family: Transfer RNA (tRNA) molecules are approximately 80 nucleotides in length. Their secondary structure includes four short double-helical elements and three loops (D, anti-codon, and T loops). The record is from RNAcentral. Lineage: Bacteria; Pseudomonadati; Bacteroidota; Chitinophagia; Chitinophagales; Chitinophagaceae.
GGAGGGAUGGCAGAGUGGUCGAUUGCGGCAGUCUUGAAAACUGUUGACUGUUACAGGUCCGGGGGUUCGAAUCCCUCUCCCUCCG